GAUGAACGCUGGCGGCGUGCAUCACACAUUCAAGUCGAACGGAUGUAGCAAUACAUCAGUGGCGGACGGGUGAGUAACACGUGAGCAACCUGCCUUUUAGAGGGGGAUAACACAGGGAAACUUGUGCUAAUACCGCAUAACACACCAAGUGGGCAUCCACAUGGUGUCAAAGGAGCAAUCCGCUAAGAGAUGGGCUCGCGUCCGAUUAGGUAGUUGGUGAGGUAACGGCUCACCAAACCGACGAUCGGUAGCCGGACUGAGAGGUUGAACGGCCACAUUGGAACUGAGAAACGGUCCAGACUCCUACGGGAGGCAGCAGUGGGGAAUAUUGGGCAAUGGAGGGAACUCUGACCCAGCGACGCCGCGUGAAGGAAGAAGGUCUUCGGAUUGUAAACUUAUGUCAGCAGGGAAGAAGCAAGUGACGGUACCUGCUAAGGAAGCCACGGCUAACUACGUGCCAGCCGCCGCAGUAAGAC
RNAcentral lists this ribosomal RNA (476 nucleotides) under uncultured bacterium. RNAcentral describes it as "bacterial SSU rRNA". It matches the Rfam family "Bacterial small subunit ribosomal RNA", at positions 28 to 526 of the family's 1533-position model. The record is from RNAcentral.